This 3363-nucleotide ribosomal RNA is filed under the name Triticum aestivum (bread wheat). RNAcentral describes it as "partial small subunit ribosomal RNA". The record is from RNAcentral. Lineage: Eukaryota; Viridiplantae; Streptophyta; Magnoliopsida; Poales; Poaceae.
AUGAGCAUGGUUACCGACGAGGUCGGAUCCGCCGGCACCCACGGCCAGGACUGCCUUCCCCGCUCUCGCAGCCCCCGUCCUGAAGCAGCUGACGGCGGCGGCGGCGGCGCUAAGGACAGCUGGGCACGCGAGCUGCUGCGGCGCGGAUGGGGCCUGAGCCGGACGGCCGCCAUGGCCGGCGCCGCGGCGACGGCCGCGCCGGUCGUGGCCCCGCCGCUGAUCGUCCUCUCCGCCGCCGGCGUCGCGCUCUCCGUCCCCUUCGCCGCCUACCUCGCCAGCCUCGCCGCCGCUAACCACCUCACCGGCGCGCUCCUCCGUUCCUGUCAACCGCCGCCGCAGCCGUGCCCCCAAGAAUACGACGACCUGGAGCAAGAAUUCCUCGACGCGUCUAAGGACAGCUGGGCACGCGAGCUGCUGCGGCGCGGAUGGGGCCUGAGCCGGACGGCCGCCAUGGCCGGCGCCGCGGCGACGGCCGCGCCGGUCGUGGCCCCGCCGCUGAUCGUCCUCUCCGCCGCCGGCUUCGCGCUCUCCGUCCCCUUCGCCGCCUACCUCGCCAGCCUCGCCGCCGCUAACCACCUCACCGGCGCGCUCCUCCGUUCCUGUCAACCGCCGCCGCAGCCGUGCCCCCAAGAAUACGACGACCUGGAGCAAGAAUUCCUCGACGCGUCGGAAGGGUACGGACAAGAGGCUCCGGCGUUCGGCCAUUUGGAUACCGAAACAGAGCAGGGCAUCGUCGAAGAGGAAGGCGGGAGCGACACUUCGCUGCCCCUGUCACGGGAUCCCGGUGCGCUUGCCGGCGACGAGGCAGAAGGUGAAUUUUAUGCCCAAGAAUUUUCUCCACCAUCAAAGCCACUGCUUCAAGGAGAGGAUCAUCUGGUUCAGAAAAGAGGAGAAGAUGAAUUUUCUGCACCAUCAAAGCCACUGCUUCAAGAAGAGGAUACUCUGGUUCAGAAAAGAGGAGAAGAUGAAUUUUCUGUACUGGAUUCAGACCAACAGUCAUUGCAAUCAAACAAUUGGAAGGGAAAAGAGGAUGUCGUGUAUUCUGAAAACAAUGAAGAGGAUGACAGAACUAUGGAGGAAAACAGGCCUGCAAAGGAGACGGUGUUGCAAGGCUUCUGUUUUCCUGAAUUGGGCGUGCCAGCCUCCGGUCACGACGACAAUGUGGUCCGGGAAAAGGGAGAAGAUGAGUUUUCUGUACAGAAUUCAGGCCAGCAAUCAGUUCAAUUUCAGUCAAAGAAUUUUGGUGAAAAAGAAGAACAUGAUGGGAAAACUAUGGAGGAAAAUAAGCCUACCAAGGAGACGGUGUCACAAGAGGCUCCGGCGUUCGGCUAUUUGGAUACUGAAACAGAGCAGGCCAUCAUCAAAGAAGAAAACGAGAGCGACACUUCGCCGCUGCUGCCACGGGAUCCUGUUAUUUACGAAGCGUCUGCGCCUGCGUUUGCUGACAAGGAGGUGGAGGAGGAGGUGCAAGGUGAAUUUUCUGCCAAAGAAUCUGGCCAUGGUUCAUACAUAUCGAACCGCGACAACAAUACAGAGGAGCACACACCAUUGGAAGGAAGGGAGUCUACUCUAAUGGAAACACUACCGAGGGGCUUUGGUCUUUCUGCAUCUGCAAAGCCACUGUUUCCAGAAGAGGAUAAUGUGAUUCAGGAAAAGGGAAACGACAAAGAAGCUGAACAAGUAACAGGCAAGCAAUCAAUUCAAUCAAAGAAUUGGAGUGAAACAGAUGAUGACGUGUAUUCUAAAGAAGAAAGUGAUGGUAAAUCCAUGGGGGAAAAUAAGUCUAUGGAGGAGAUGGUGUCGCGAGGCCUCUGUUUUCCAGAAUCGCAUGUGCCAGUAUCAGGCGAAGACGAUGACAAUGUGGUCCAGGAAAAGGGAGAAGUUAAAUUUGAUGCACAGAAUUCAGGCCAACAAUCAUUUCAGUCAAUGAAUUUGAGUGAAAAAGUAGAAGAGGAUGGCAAAACUACAGAGGAAAACAAGUCUACCAAGGAGACACUGUUCUAUGGAUCAUCUGUGCCGGCGUCAGGUGAUGAAGACAAUGUGGUUCAGGAAAAGAGAGAAGGUGAAUUUUCUGCAAGGAAUUCAGGCCAACUACCAUUUCAAUCAAAGAUUUGGAAUGAAAAAGAAGAGGAUGGCAAAACUACAGAGGAAAACAAGUCUACUGAGGUGACGUAUUCGCAAGGUUCCUAUUUUCCCGAAUCAAGUGUGCCAACAUCAGGUGAUGAAAACAAGAAGGGAGAGGAUGAAUUCUCUGUACACAAUUUAGGCCAGUAUUCACUUUCAUCAGACAUCGGAGAUAAAAAAGAGCAUGGCAUAACAAUGGAGAAAAAGAAGUCUACCGAGGACAUGCCACCACGAGACUCUGUUGGCUCUGAGUCACCAGCUCCAGUGUUCCAUGGUGAAGACAACGUGGUUCAGAGCAAGGAAGGAUUUGAAGUUGCAGUGGAGGGAGUGUUCGAAGAAGCUAAUACUAAUACCGAUCUUGUUACGGCCGAAGUGGUUGAUUCUCAAGUGGAAAUUAUUGUAAUUGCCGCACCUGAGAGCGAGGUGCUGCCACCGAGUACUGAUCUUGUAAUGGCCGAAGUGGUUGAUGUGCAAGUGGAGAUUAGUGCAACUGCAGCACCAGAUAGUGAGGUCCUUUCACCGAAUCCUGGUACUGGGGAAAUUUCUGAUGUGCAAGUCAACGUUGUUGCUGCUGCGAAGCCUGAAGAUGAGGUGCUGCAUGAGAGUGACCUUGCAGCUUGUGCUUCAACGGCAGAUCUUGGUAUUGGGGAAAUUUCUGAUGUACAAGUCAACAUUGUUGCUGCUGCUGUGAAGCCUGAAGAUGAGUUGCUGCCACUGAGUAACCUCACAGAAUGUGAGUCACAGGUGGUUAUUGAAACUGCACAUGUUGGUGACAUUGUAGGAAUUUCUGCAAUAGGACGCAAUGUAAAGGAUUCUAGUGAUGUAGACAAACAAGGCAUGGAAUGCUGUUUUGUCCCAGUGGCGUCUAUGCAUGAUACUGAAGAUGUAAUGUCCAGUGGGAGCACGCCGUAUUUCUCCACCAUGGGCGAAGAAAUCGUUGACCUGUCCGAUCAGUCAAGUGAUGUGGGUUACACAGUGAGGAAUGAAGCAUUUAGGAGCAGAGUUGUUGCUGAGAGCGAGGCUCGCUACACGGAAGAACAGUUGAGGGAACAGCUCGACACGAUAAGAACAAUAACCGGGUACAGUGCUGUGCCUUCUUCGACACUGGAAGGCGAGCUGGCAAGGCUGUACAUAUUCGUGGGCGUGGAGCCCCCCGUCGGCUCAAGCAAUAUCUCUGACCGCCUGAUGGCGCUCAGUGCAGAAGUCCUGUUCUUGAAAUCGAUCAUCGGAGUGGACUGA